GAGAGAUGGCCGAGCGGUUGAUGGCGCUGGUCUUGAAAACCAGUGAUGCUGAAAGGCACCGGGGGUUCGAAUCCCUCUCUCUCC
This 84-nucleotide transfer RNA is filed under the name mouse gut metagenome. It matches the Rfam family "tRNA". Rfam says of the family: Transfer RNA (tRNA) molecules are approximately 80 nucleotides in length. Their secondary structure includes four short double-helical elements and three loops (D, anti-codon, and T loops). The record is from RNAcentral. RNAcentral also lists the same sequence under 1 other name.